UACAGAGGUCUCAAGCGUUGUUCGGAAUCACUGGGCGUAAAGCGUAUGUAGGCUGUAAGGUAAGUCAGAUGUGAAAGCCCAGGGCUCAACCCUGGAACUGCAUCCGAUACUGCCAUACUAGAGUAGUAGAGGGGUAUAUGGAAUUCACGGUGUAGCAGUGAAAUGCGUAGAUAUCGUGAGGAACACUGGCGGCGAAGGCG
This 200-nucleotide ribosomal RNA is filed under the name uncultured bacterium. RNAcentral describes it as "partial 16S ribosomal RNA". It matches the Rfam family "Bacterial small subunit ribosomal RNA", at positions 524 to 723 of the family's 1533-position model. The record is from RNAcentral.